Athene cunicularia (burrowing owl) is the source of this 678-nucleotide long non-coding RNA. RefSeq lists it as uncharacterized. Lineage: Eukaryota; Metazoa; Chordata; Aves; Strigiformes; Strigidae. The record is from RefSeq and is a predicted model, not a curated record. The transcript is spliced from 3 exons.
ACCGUCCCUUUAAACGAGGGCUGGCGGCCUUUGGAGGAAAUAAAUUACACCGUUAAAAGACCUGAAGCUUGGCGUGGGGUGCGGCAUGUAGCUCUAGGGUGCAGGUCUCAAACAUUGUCCAUCAUUUUGCUCCCAACUCUCCUGCAUCAUAUGGUGGAAACCCCUCUUAGUUUUACAGCUGUGCCCUUGGGCUGGGAGUGGUGCCUGGAAUGCUCUGAGUGCUGUGGCACUGAGAAAUGGUGCUGCUGUGGAGAGACGGGAAGGCAAAUAUUGUUGAUGAAGGUUCAGUCAGAGACCAAGAUUUGAAGGAGUCAGAAGAACCUGUUAAUCUUUUCAUUAGAGGCUGAACAGCUUAGUGCCAGCAAAGUAGGCAGUUCCAGCUCAAGGCACUGUUCACUGUGGUACGUCAUCAGGCAAAAUUAAAGAUGGUGUUGUGUCUAUUCUGAGCUGCUUGCUGGAGAAUUACUUCCAAUACACCUCUUUAGGAGCAGAUUGUGAGUCUGCUUCCCAAAAGGUUCCAGACUUUUAAUGGAACAUGGUUUCUAGACUUAGGAUAUAGGAGAUCAAACAGGUCGGAGUCCCCUCUUAGCUGUAAAUACUGCUAUCUGUUACUGCAAAUACAAGACUUUGCAUGUCUUAACUUCCAGACCUGUUUUCUGCUAUUGCUUUGUAGUGCUA